AUACGGAGGGUGCGAGCGUUAUCCGGAUUCACUGGGUUUAAAGGGUGCGCAGGCGGGUUUUUAAGUCAGCGGUGAAAUCUGUGGGCUCAACCCACAAACCGCCGUUGAUACUAUUGGCCUUGGAUCCCCUUGAGGGCAGCGGAAUGGGGCAUGUAGCGGUGAAAUGCAUAGAUAUGCCCCGGAACACCGAUUGCGUAGGCAGCUGCCUAAGGGGGCAUCGACGCUGAGGCACGAAAGCGUGGGUAGC
This 247-nucleotide ribosomal RNA is filed under the name uncultured bacterium. RNAcentral's name for it is "partial 16S ribosomal RNA". It matches the Rfam family "Bacterial small subunit ribosomal RNA", at positions 523 to 769 of the family's 1533-position model. The record is from RNAcentral.